UCUGGGCCCGCGGAUCAGACCUUCUCCCACCAGGGUUGUUACAACCAACACUGCCAUAUGCGGCGGCGCUCUGGCUCUCCACCCGGGGAUUUCGGCCUCACGUCGCACGCCUCGCCUGGAGUCUGGAUUCGUGGGCUAUACAAGCCAAUCGUGCGCACAUUUCUUCUUCCCCAACCACAGACGUGAACCAAAGCUGCGCUGCCAAGAACCGUCAGUCGUCGUGAGAGGGGGAAACCAGCUCAUUGUGGCAGAAUCUUGCGUCUGCGGGCCGAUAGCCAGCCGGGGAGCUCAAGCAGGGUCGCGCGGGUGCCCAGACGGUGUGGAGGUCGUCGGUGGGGGAAACCCGGAUCGUGCUUGGGUGGCAAUCGCUCGCCGGAGACAUCAUCCCGCGCCGUGGGAUCGCCCCUGGAGGAGACGAAAUUCCUACGCCAAUCCCUCUCGAUGAGUCAGUGGCCGAGAAUUCAGGUGUUCAGCAGGUAGAAGUUGCUGAGCAGGAGCUCAUUGAAGGGGUUAGAAUCAUCACUUAAAUCAAAGCAAGAAGUAGAAGCAUCUUUCUUAAAAAUUUCAGGAGAAGAAUAUGUGGUCCAAGAGGUGCCAUAUAAUGAGGAGUACGAGCUCAUCUAGGUGACGUCUCGCAGUCAGCUUGAUGGUGCCAAGGAAUAAUAUAUAGUUUGCUUUAUUGUUAUCAUUUGUUUUUGUAAGACUUCCGCUAUGUAAUAAUGAUACUUGUGCCAUUUAUCUCUAUACACUUUAUCAUUAUAUUUGAUGUUCUUCUUUGGCGCACAUAUGAGAUGCACCCGACUUUAUCCCUUAAAUCCGGGUGUGACGUACUUAAAGAAGGUAUAUCCUUCGACACUCUAUAAUAAAUCUAAGGUUACACUAUCGAGUGUAACAAAAAUGCCAAAGAAGCUCCAAAGUCGCUCGUAAGGGGAUGCAGAGCUCAAAAUACCACCUAGUAAAGGUGAAGAAGCUCUAAAGUCGUUUCUAAGGGGAUGCAGAGCUUAAAAUACCAUCUAGUAAAGAUGAAGAAGCUCUAAAGUUGUUCCUAAGGGGAUGCAGAGCUUAAAUAAAACACCUAGUAAAGGUGUAGAGGACUCCAAAGUCGUUCCCAAAGGAAUACAGAGUCUUGUUACAAUUUUUUUUCCUCUUUUCUUUAUCACUGUCUUGCACCAAGCAUCAUGCAUCAUAUGAUCAUACCAUUACGCAUCAUACCAUCAUGCAUCGUAUUAUCUUGCAUCAAGUAUGAAGUGAGAAGAAGGGGAAUUGCUCCCUUUAUUAACUCUAAGGUAGCGCAUUAAAGGACGAACGAGAUCAAAUGUUUUGGCUUCAUACAUGUUUUUUGUGAAAUUAUAUAACGGAGACAGAAGGGCAAAGAAGGGGACAAUGCUUCGUCUCUAGCGGCAACAUUCUCUAUGAUAAUACAAGACCUUCAGCUGAAGAAGUUUUUCUUUAUGAAGCGUGAAAAGAAGGGAAGGUGUUUUUUCGCCUUCGGCUCAAAAACG
Molecule: long non-coding RNA, 1502 nt
Organism: Zea mays
Lineage: Eukaryota; Viridiplantae; Streptophyta; Magnoliopsida; Poales; Poaceae
Exons: 4
Source: RefSeq, a predicted model, not a curated record